GACAAAGUCAUAAAGGUUAUGGGGUUAACUUGAAAUUAAUCUAAGGGGGUUCAAUUCCUCCCUUUCUUA
This 69-nucleotide transfer RNA is filed under the name Monodelphis domestica (gray short-tailed opossum). It matches the Rfam family "tRNA". Rfam says of the family: Transfer RNA (tRNA) molecules are approximately 80 nucleotides in length. Their secondary structure includes four short double-helical elements and three loops (D, anti-codon, and T loops). Further hydrogen bonds mediate the characteristic L-shaped molecular structure. tRNAs have two regions of fundamental functional importance: the anti-codon, which is responsible for specific mRNA codon recognition, and the 3' end, to which the tRNAs corresponding amino acid is attached (by aminoacyl-tRNA synthetases). tRNAs cope with the degeneracy of the genetic code in two manners: having more than one tRNA (with a specific anti-codon) for a particular amino acid; and 'wobble' base-pairing, i.e. permitting non-standard base-pairing at the 3rd anti-codon position. Lineage: Eukaryota; Metazoa; Chordata; Mammalia; Didelphimorphia; Didelphidae. The record is from Rfam by way of RNAcentral.